RNAcentral lists this long non-coding RNA (624 nucleotides) under Vigna radiata. Its description in RNAcentral is "long non-coding RNA (VRAD_LNC009149)". Lineage: Eukaryota; Viridiplantae; Streptophyta; Magnoliopsida; Fabales; Fabaceae. The record is from RNAcentral.
GUUAAAUAAGUUUGAAGAUUAAAAUUUGUGAAAGGUUAUAAUAUACACUAAUUUCAAUUUAACGUCAAAUUUAGGGAUGAAAAAUAUGAAAUNCUAUUUNUUANUUUNUAAUUAANAAUNAUGUAAAAAUAUUUAUUAAAGUAAAAGAAAGAUGCUUACAUGUAUUCUUACAUGUAUUUUCCAAGUUAUAACACUUAACAUAAAUGUUCCUUUUCUCUACAAAAAUGCAAUUUAUUGUUGAAUAUUUAUUUUUUUUUUUGUAAAAAAGAAAGUCCAUGGACUGGUCCUAACCCACAGGACUUUGGGACUUUUUAGCCCUGAGAACUUUUUUAAUAAAGGACUUUUUUGACCCUAGGGGUUUUUUUGACCCCAACCCACAUGGACUAGGGCCAGGACCUAUUAUAAGGGUCUAUUUAACAGGUCUACUUCACUUACAUAGGUUGGUUUAUGAUUAAAGCGUAUAUUUACUCACUUAAGCUCCCCAAAAUAAAAAUACGAAAAAGAAAAUAUUUUCCCAAAAUAUCACUUGUAUUAUUUCUUAAUCUAUUCUAAAAAAUAACUUACUUUGUUAUAUUAAUAGGAAAUGAAGAAUAUGAAGAUAAAAUUAUAACUCCUUUAAAAUUA